CUAAAUCCCCUCGUUUACACCGAGACGCUAUCUGUUUGACCCAGAUCAUUUUGAGCCUAAAAUCUAGCCCACACAAAUCUUAUGUAAACCCAAACCCACUGUUUUGUAAUAAAACAUUUUUAUAUUUUAGUACAGGAGAUCGAAAAAUUCCUAAGAGCUUCAGAUAAAGUACCGCAAGGGAAUGAUGAAAUAAAAAUGAAAUAAUUUUAAAGCCCUAAACAGCAAAGAUUAAUCCUUGUACCUUUUGCAUCAUGGUCUAGCUAGUCUUACCAAGCAAAAAGAAAUUUAAGUUUGCCACCCCGAAACUAAGUGAGCUACUUUUAAACAGCCCUAAGGGCCAACCCGUCUCUGUUGCAAAAGAGUGGGAAGAUUUUUAAGUAGAGGCGACAAACCUACCGAACUUAUAGAUAGCUGGUUGUUCAGGAAAAGAGUCUUAGCUCUACCUUAAGUUUUUUAGUUGCAUCCACAAUCUUUCUAGACUUAAGAGCUAUUCAAAUAAGGCACAGCUUAUUUGAAACAGGAUACAACCUCCAACACUGGGUAAAUGAUAGUGAUCCAAGUAAAGUAGGCCUAAGAGCAGCCACCUUUCAAAAAGCGUCAUAGCUUAACCUCUCUCACACCCCAAUUCAUAAAAACACCCUCAACCCUUCACCAGUACUGAACUAUUUUAUAUUUUUAUAAAAAUAAUUAUGCUAGAACUAGUAACAAGAAAUUGCCCUUCUCCUAAUGCAAGUAUAAAUCUUAAUGACACCCCAAAUGAUAAUUAACGUAAAUACACCAAAUAUAGUAACAUAUAUCUAGAAAACCCUAUAAUCUCAAACGUUAACCUUACACCAGAGCAUUUCAGGAAAGAUUAAAAGAGAAAGAAGGAACUCGGCAACUUCAGCCCCGCCUGUUUACCAAAAACAUCGCCUCUUGA
Molecule: ribosomal RNA, 919 nt
Filed under: Sylvirana cf. nigrovittata A161290
Lineage: Eukaryota; Metazoa; Chordata; Amphibia; Anura; Ranidae
Description: partial 16S ribosomal RNA
Rfam family: Bacterial large subunit ribosomal RNA (bases 210-697)
Source: RNAcentral